This 301-nucleotide ribosomal RNA is filed under the name uncultured bacterium. Its description in RNAcentral is "partial 16S ribosomal RNA". It matches the Rfam family "Bacterial small subunit ribosomal RNA", at positions 509 to 808 of the family's 1533-position model. The record is from RNAcentral.
CAGCCGCCGCGGGAAUACGGGGGGGGCAAGUGUUAUUCGGAAUGACUGGGCGUAAAGGGCACGUAGGCGGUGAAAAGGGUGGAAAGUGAAAGUCGCCAAAACACUGGCGGGGUGCUUUCUUGACCAUUUCACUUGAGUGAGAUAGGGGAGAGUGGAAUUUCGUGUGGAGGGAUCAAAUCCUAAGAUAUACGAAGGAACGCCAACCGCGAAGGCAGCUCUCUGGGUCCCCACUGACGCUGGGGUGCGAAAGCAUGGGGAGCAAACAGGAUCAGAUACCCCCGUAGUCCCUGUCUCUUAUACC